UUCCUUACAAUAUAUACUCAUUGAAUCACUACUUGUAUUUGUAUGUUGCUGCAUACUCAUUGAAUGCACAGGAAGCAACAAAAAAACGAAAAAAUAUAAAAAUAAAACUAACAUACCACUACUGAUAUUUAUAAUAAACAGACGUGAAAACUAAGCAUACCACUACGGGUAAAGGUAAUGACCCGUAGUGGAAUCCCCAUUUCUUUAAAAAAAAACUGGAAACCAUACAUACCACUACGGAUAUGCGUAAAUACCCGUAGUGGAAUCCCCAAUUCUUUAAAAAAAACUGGAACACCAUACAUACCACUACGGAUAUGUGUAAAUACCCGUAGUGGAAUCCCAAUUCUUAAAUAAAAAACUGGAAACCAUACAUACCACUACGGAUAUUGUAAAUACCCGUAGUGGAAUCUCAUACAUACCACUACGGGUAUUUGUAAAAACCGACGUGGAAUCCACAUAAAUUUAAUUAAUAAUACAGUAGAAACCUGACAUACCACGACGGGUAUAAAAAGACCCGUCGUGGAAAGUAUUGACUUACAACGACGAGUGUGUUUACUACCGGCCGCGGCCAGUAGUGGAAAGUCUAUUUGGCCGGUAGUGGAAUCCCCUUUCUGCACUAGUGUAUAUUUUAAAAGGGUAUAUUUAUAUCCUAUUUAUUUAUAGUACUGUGUAUCCA
This 676-nucleotide long non-coding RNA is filed under the name Trifolium pratense (red clover). RNAcentral's name for it is "long non-coding RNA (TPRA_LNC009632)". Lineage: Eukaryota; Viridiplantae; Streptophyta; Magnoliopsida; Fabales; Fabaceae. The record is from RNAcentral.